UCUGGACUGCUUCAGGGUGCUUUGGUUCACUCAUACAUUUAUGACUAGUGUACCGUUGAAAGCAGUGACUUGGUUUAUCUUUUAUCUAACUCUAUAGGACCACUCUAAAGAAAGUCAAACAAGGCCUGAGAACAGGAUGGGUUUCAUCAAAUUUCACCUGUACUUGUAUUUGAGUAUAGAUUCCUCAAGCCCCAAUUCAAAAUGCAUCAUAGAUUUACCAGCAUACAUCAAAACAAGUACCAAGCAGAUGCAAGGAUGUUUGGCAAAAUGCCAUCCCACUGAGAACCUCUUAGUGUAUACAGACACUAUGAACAUAUCAGCCUGGCUGUUAAGCAGAUACAGACAUAAUGCCUGCUGGCACAAGUCCCUUGUUGCAUUAACCUGAUGAGGUCUGCUGACGUGCACAAUCUCAAACUGCUUCUGGUGUGGCUUGUCUGGUGUCACCGUAUACAAAUCAUGAUCUUAAAAUGAUUGUUUGUUGUUUUAAAUAUUAUUUUUCACUAAUCCAAAC
This 511-nucleotide long non-coding RNA is filed under the name Androctonus crassicauda. The record is from RNAcentral. Lineage: Eukaryota; Metazoa; Arthropoda; Arachnida; Scorpiones; Buthidae.